Molecule: ribosomal RNA, 279 nt
Filed under: uncultured bacterium
Lineage: Bacteria
Description: partial 16S ribosomal RNA
Rfam family: Bacterial small subunit ribosomal RNA
Source: RNAcentral
UGCCAGCCGCCGCGGUAAUACAGAGGGUGCAAGCGUUAAUCGGAGUUAUUGGGCGUAAAGGGUGCGUAGGUGGAGUCAUAAGUUAGAUGUGAAAGCCCUGGGCUUAACCUGGGAAUGGCAUUUAAAACUGUGAUUCUAGAGUAGAGUAGAGGUAAGCGGAAUUUCCGGUGUAGCGGUGAAAUGCGUAGAUAUCGGAAGGAACACCUGUGGCGAAGGCGGCUUACUGGGCUCAUACUGACACUGAGGCACGAAAGCGUGGGUAGCGAACAGGAUUAGCUA